This is a long non-coding RNA of Helianthus annuus (common sunflower), 411 nucleotides long. RefSeq lists it as uncharacterized. The record is from RefSeq and is a predicted model, not a curated record. The transcript has 2 exons. Lineage: Eukaryota; Viridiplantae; Streptophyta; Magnoliopsida; Asterales; Asteraceae.
UCCCUCUACAACGCAAAAGCGAAAUCUAGGUCACAAGCAUUGUUCCAAAUCAAUACGAUAACUGAAAAAAAAAAAUUAUCUGUGUAUUUGAUUUUUUUUUUCAACCAUAACACAUUAUGUGAUUUUUAUCAUGAGUUUUUCCAAUCACUUUUAAAUUCCUGUACAUUAGUAAAAAAUAAGUAACUAUUACCGAUUAAGAGUUAUUGUAUUAAAGAUCUCCUUCUUCAAUCUCAUAUUUUGUAUUUGGAUUAGUUUGAAGGCAAUCACCCACUCAAGGCCUCGAGCAGUUGUCAUGCACGGCUAAAAGGACAUACACAUACAGGUUCAAGUGAAGAACAUGUGCACCGGAAGCUUUUUAUGCUAUUAUGAGAAUUUAACAAGUCCUGUAACCCUUCUGCUCUUUAGAAAAAA